Molecule: ribosomal RNA, 264 nt
Filed under: uncultured bacterium
Lineage: Bacteria
Description: partial 16S ribosomal RNA
Rfam family: Bacterial small subunit ribosomal RNA
Source: RNAcentral
UUCGAGUGGCGGACGGGUGAGUAACGCGUGGGUAACCUGCCUUACACAGGGGGAUAACACCUGGAAACAGGUGCUAAUACCGCAUAAGCGCACAGGGCCGCAUGGCCCGGUGUGAAAAACUCCGGUGGUGUAAGAUGGACCCGCGUCUGAUUAGCUUGUUGGCGGGGUAGGGGCCCACCAAGGCGACGAUCAGUAGCCGGCCUGAGAGGGUGGACGGCCACAUUGGGACUGAGAUACGGCCCAGACUCCUACGGAAGGCAGCAG